UUACAGCCAUAUCACAUUGAAAUACCAGUUCUCAUAUGAUCACUGAAGUUAAGCAAUGUUGAGCCUGGUCAGUACCAAGAUGGGUGACUGCUUGGAAAUACCAGUGUAGCA
Acanthosepion pharaonis is the source of this 111-nucleotide non-coding RNA. The record is from the annotation of a GenBank genome assembly. Lineage: Eukaryota; Metazoa; Mollusca; Cephalopoda; Sepiida; Sepiidae.